This 497-nucleotide ribosomal RNA is filed under the name uncultured bacterium. RNAcentral describes it as "partial 16S ribosomal RNA". It matches the Rfam family "Bacterial small subunit ribosomal RNA", at positions 28 to 507 of the family's 1533-position model. The record is from RNAcentral.
GAUGAACGCUGGCGGCGUGCCUAAUACAUGCAAGUCGAGCGAACAGACGAGGAGCUUGCUCCUCUGACGUUAGCGGCGGACGGGUGAGUAACACGUGGAUAACCUACCUAUAAGACUGGGAUAACUUCGGGAAACCGGAGCUAAUACCGGAUAAUAUAUUGAACCGCAUGGUUCAAUAGUGAAAGACGGUUUUGCUGUCACUUAUAGAUGGAUCCGCGCCGCAUUAGCUAGUUGGUAAGGUAACGGCUUACCAAGGCAACGAUGCGUAGCCGACCUGAGAGGGUGAUCGGCCACACUGGAACUGAGACACGGUCCAGACUCCUACGGGAGGCAGCAGUAGGGAAUCUUCCGCAAUGGGCGAAAGCCUGACGGAGUAACGCCGCGUGAGUGAUGAAGGUCUUCGGAUCGUAAAACUCUGUUAUUAGGGAAGAACAAAUGUGUAAGUAACUAUGCACGUCCUGACGGUACCUAAUCAGAAAGCCACGGCUAACUACGUG